GACUGAUUCAUCUAGGUGCAGAUG
This 24-nucleotide non-coding RNA is filed under the name Arabidopsis thaliana (thale cress). Lineage: Eukaryota; Viridiplantae; Streptophyta; Magnoliopsida; Brassicales; Brassicaceae. The record is from RNAcentral.